GCUCUGAUAGCUCAGUUGGUUAGAGCAUCCGGCUGUUAACCGGGAGGUCGCAGGUUCGAUUCCUGUUUAGAGCG
RNAcentral lists this transfer RNA (74 nucleotides) under Porticoccaceae bacterium. RNAcentral's name for it is "tRNA-Asn". It matches the Rfam family "tRNA". Rfam says of the family: Transfer RNA (tRNA) molecules are approximately 80 nucleotides in length. Their secondary structure includes four short double-helical elements and three loops (D, anti-codon, and T loops). Further hydrogen bonds mediate the characteristic L-shaped molecular structure. tRNAs have two regions of fundamental functional importance: the anti-codon, which is responsible for specific mRNA codon recognition, and the 3' end, to which the tRNAs corresponding amino acid is attached (by aminoacyl-tRNA synthetases). tRNAs cope with the degeneracy of the genetic code in two manners: having more than one tRNA (with a specific anti-codon) for a particular amino acid; and 'wobble' base-pairing, i.e. permitting non-standard base-pairing at the 3rd anti-codon position. Lineage: Bacteria; Pseudomonadati; Pseudomonadota; Gammaproteobacteria; Cellvibrionales; Porticoccaceae. The record is from RNAcentral.